This is a non-coding RNA of Dipodomys ordii (Ord's kangaroo rat), 269 nucleotides long. NCBI's taxonomy places the organism in Eukaryota, Metazoa, Chordata, Mammalia, Rodentia, Heteromyidae. The record is from Rfam.
GGAUGUGAGGGUGAUCUGGCUGCACCAUCUGUCAACCCAUUGUUCGCCAGGGAUGAUUAGGCUAAUCUGGCUAGGCAUGUGUUCCCUUCGUCCCUCACUACUCCAUGUGCGUUCCUCCCAAAGAUGUAUGCUCUGUCGAAGAGGAUGACCAUCCCCCAUAGAGGAGGACUGGUCUUUGGUCAAGGGAGUAAGAGUAGCUGCGCUCCCCUGCCAGAACCUUGAAACAAGCUCUUAAGGAAAGGUGUCAUCAUCAUGACAUCCAUCUUUUG